AAGUAAAUAUUUAUUUUUAUUAUUAGGAUUGAUGAUUUAUUUAAAGGAAUAAUUUUGUUUUAUUAGUUAGUGCGAACAAAGGAGUUUGUGGAUUAUGAUAUUUUACUAGUAUUGUGAAAGAAAUUUUUGAUUUAAUGGAAAGAAAAAUUAAUUUUUUGUACCUUGUGUAUCAGGGCUUAUAAAUUAAAAUUUAAAAAUUUUAAGUUUCUCGAAUUUAAAAGAGUUAUGGUUAUAUGUUUUUUAUUGUGGAAGAAAUAAUGAUAAUAUGAUUGUUGGAGUGAAAUGCUAUUCGAUUUUAAAUAUAUCUAGUUUUUUAAGAAAAAGAUGCAAUCUUAUUUUUAUUUAUUAUGGUUUUAUUUGUUUAGAGUUAUAAUAGUAAAUUUAUAUGUUUAAGGGGAUGAGCUUUUAAGCGGAUAAAUACAAUUUAAGAAUAAAAAUAUUUAAAUCUUUAAGUAGAAUUGAAAGUUUUUAUCUUUUAAAGUGUGUUGUUACUAGAGGAAUGGUCUUAGAAGAAUUUUUAUUUUGUUUAUUUGGUUAUUAAAAUUUAAACUUUAACGAUAGAGGUUUAGUAAUAAUGAUAAAAUUAGUAUAAUUGGUUGUAGAUUUUAUUUGUAGGUAAGAGGUUUUGAAAAGGAAUUCGGCAAAAUAUUUUUUCACCUGUUUAAUAAAAACAUGGCUUAUUGAAUAUAAUUUUAAGUCUGGCCUGCCCGCUGAAUUGUUGAAUGGCCGCGGUACAUUGACCGUGCAAAGGUAGCAUAAUCAGUAGUUUUUUAAUUGAAAGCUUGUAUGAAAGGUUCGAUGAGAGAGAUACUGUCUCUAGAGAAUUUUAUUAGAAUUUUAUUUUUAAGUUAAAAAGCUUAAAUGAAAAUAGAAGACGAGAAGACCCUAUAGAGUUUAAUAAAUUAAAGUUUGUUCAAUUUUAGGAAUUUUAUUUUAAACUUAUWAAAAUUUAUUUUGUUGGGGUGAUGAGAAAAUUAAACAAACUUUUCUUUUAUUUUAUAUUGAUUAAUAGGUAAGUGAUCCUUGUUUAAAGAUAAAAAGAUAAAAUUACCUUAGGGAUAACAGCGUAAUUUUUUUUAGAGUUCUUAUCGAAUAAGAAGAUUGCGACCUCGAUGUUGGAUUAAAAUGAAUAGUUGGUGCAGAAGCUAACAGAUUAGGUCUGUUCGACCUUUAAAAUUUUACAUGAUCUGAGUUUAAACCGGUGUGAGCCAGGUUGGUUUCUAUCUCUAUAAAAUGCUAGUAUUUUAGUACGAAAGGACCAAGUGCUAAGUUUAAAAUUUGUAUUAGAGUGAUAUUAA
This 1298-nucleotide ribosomal RNA is filed under the name Trigonopterus kotamobagensis. RNAcentral describes it as "16S ribosomal RNA". Lineage: Eukaryota; Metazoa; Arthropoda; Insecta; Coleoptera; Curculionidae. The record is from RNAcentral.